Non-coding RNA from Monodelphis domestica (gray short-tailed opossum), 411 nucleotides. The record is from RefSeq and is a predicted model, not a curated record. NCBI's taxonomy places the organism in Eukaryota, Metazoa, Chordata, Mammalia, Didelphimorphia, Didelphidae.
CUGGAACUAGAAGGAGCUUUCUCUCUGUCUCUGAAUAGAAGUGGUUCUAUUUUCCUGAUUUUCCCAACUGUGUGCUCUACCUGGAUUCCUGUGAUCCUGUCAUCAACAAAAGGACUUAAAGGAAGCAGUUUGAACUGACAGAAAUAUGAGCAGACCAGAGCUGGAGGAAGAUUAUUUUGGUAGCUGUGGAAAUACAUUGGAGAGGAGAGAAACAGAAAACAGGGAGACUGGUUGGAGGAUAUUGUAAUACUCCAGAAGAAGAAAUAGAGGAGCAAAAUGAGUACCAGAGCAGGGAUGAAAUCCCAGGUCUCUUCCCUCCUUGGGCAGUGCUGGUUCUGUCAGGUUGUUGAAAUUUGGCCUUCUUAGACACAGACAUUCCUGAACACACCUCAUGAGGUCAUGAGUCAAGCC